This 69-nucleotide transfer RNA is filed under the name Ichthyophis bannanicus. RNAcentral's name for it is "tRNA-Glu". It matches the Rfam family "tRNA". From Rfam's summary of the family: Transfer RNA (tRNA) molecules are approximately 80 nucleotides in length. Their secondary structure includes four short double-helical elements and three loops (D, anti-codon, and T loops). Lineage: Eukaryota; Metazoa; Chordata; Amphibia; Gymnophiona; Ichthyophiidae. The record is from RNAcentral.
GUUUUUAUAGUUGAAGUACAACGGUGGUUUUUCAGACCAUUAGUCUUGGUUAGAUCCCUAGUAAAAAUU